RNAcentral lists this ribosomal RNA (446 nucleotides) under uncultured bacterium. RNAcentral describes it as "partial 16S ribosomal RNA". It matches the Rfam family "Bacterial small subunit ribosomal RNA", at positions 338 to 795 of the family's 1533-position model. The record is from RNAcentral.
CCUACGGGUGGCAGCAGUCGAGAAUCAUUCACAAUGGGGGAAACUCUGAUGGUGCGACGCCGCGUGGGGGAAUGAAGGUCUUCGGAUUGUAAACCCCUGUCAUGUGGGAGCAAAUUAAAAAGAUAGUACCACAAGAGGAAGAGAAGGCUCACUCUGUGACAGCAGCCGCGGUAAUACGGAGGUCUCAAGCGUUGUUCGGAAUCACGGGGCGUAAGGGGUGCGUAGGCUGUAUAGUAAGUCGUGUGUGAAAGGCGCGGGCUCAACCCGCGGACGGCACAUGAUACUGCGAGACUAGAGUAAUGGAGGGGGAACCGGAAUUCUCGGUGUAGCAGUGAAAUGCGUAGAUAUCGAGAGGAACACUCGUGGCGAAGGCGGGUUCCUGGACAUUAACUGACGCUGAGGCACGAAGGCCAGGGGAGCGAAAGGGAUUAGAUACCCCAGUAGUC